UACGGAGGGUGCAAGCGUUGUCCGGAAUCACUGGGCGUAAAGGGUGCGUAGGCGGCUUGGUAAGUCACUUGUGAAAUCCCGUUGCUCAACGACGGGGCCGCAGGUGAGACUGCCUGGCUAGAGCUUGGUAGGGGCGAGUGGAAUUCCCGGUGUAGCGGUGGAAUGCGUAGAGAUCGGGAAGAACACCGGUGGCGAAGGCGGCUCGCUGGGCCAAUGCUGACGCUGAUGCACGAAAGCGUGGGGAGCAAACAGG
RNAcentral lists this ribosomal RNA (253 nucleotides) under uncultured bacterium. RNAcentral's name for it is "partial 16S ribosomal RNA". It matches the Rfam family "Bacterial small subunit ribosomal RNA", at positions 524 to 776 of the family's 1533-position model. The record is from RNAcentral.